This 260-nucleotide ribosomal RNA is filed under the name Blastocystis sp. subtype 2. Its description in RNAcentral is "partial 18S ribosomal RNA". It matches the Rfam family "Eukaryotic small subunit ribosomal RNA", at positions 717 to 979 of the family's 1831-position model. The record is from RNAcentral. Lineage: Eukaryota; Bigyra; Opalinata; Blastocystidae.
GGGGUAUUCAGUUAUUUCACUACUCCUUUGGUCGUUUACUGUGAGAAAAUUAGAGUGUUCAAAGCGGGCGUUUGUUUGAAUAGAUUAGCAUGGAAUAAUGAUUGAAGGCUUUCGUGUUCGAUUUGAUUGGUUUGUUCAUGGAAGCAAGGUUAAAAGGAACAGUUGGGGGUAUUCAUAUUCACUAGUUAGAGGUGAAAUUCUCGGAUUUAUGGAAGAUGAACAGGUGCGAAAGCAUUUACCAAGGAUGUUUUCAUUAAUCA